UACGGAGGGUGCAAGCGUUAUCCGGAUUUAUUAGGUUUAAAGGGUGCGUAGGCGGAAGCUUAAGUCAGUGGUAAAAGGCAAUAGCUUAACUACUGUAAGCCAUUGAUACUGGGUCUCUUGAGUACGGUAGAGGUAGGCGGAAUGUGUUGUGUAGCGGUGAAAUGCAUAGAUAUAACACAGAACACCGAUUGCGAAGGCAGCUUACUAUGCCGUUACUGACGCUGAUGCACGAAAGCGUGGGGAUCAAACAGG
Molecule: ribosomal RNA, 252 nt
Filed under: uncultured bacterium
Lineage: Bacteria
Description: partial 16S ribosomal RNA
Rfam family: Bacterial small subunit ribosomal RNA
Source: RNAcentral